UACGGAGGGUGCAAGCGUUAUCCGGAUUCACUGGGUUUAAAGGGUGCGUAGGUGGGUUGGUAAGUCAGUGGUGAAAUCUCCAGGCUUAACUUGGAAACUGCCAUUGAUACUAUCAGUCUUGAAUACCGUGGAGGUCAGCGGAAUAUGUCAUGUAGCGGUGAAAUGCUUAGAUAUGACAUAGAACACCAAUUGCGAAGGCAGCUGGCUACACGAAUAUUGACACUGAGGCACGAAAGCGUGGGGAUCAAACAGG
Molecule: ribosomal RNA, 253 nt
Filed under: uncultured bacterium
Lineage: Bacteria
Description: partial 16S ribosomal RNA
Rfam family: Bacterial small subunit ribosomal RNA
Source: RNAcentral